Molecule: ribosomal RNA, 252 nt
Filed under: uncultured bacterium
Lineage: Bacteria
Description: partial 16S ribosomal RNA
Rfam family: Bacterial small subunit ribosomal RNA
Source: RNAcentral
UACGUAGGGGGCGAGCGUUAUCCGGAUUCAUUGGGCGUAAAGCGCGCGUAGGCGGCCGCCUAAGCGGAACCUCUAACCCCGGGGCUCAACCUCGGGCCGGGUUCCGGACUGGGCGGCUCGAGUGCGGUAGAGGAGAGCGGAAUUCCCGGUGUAGCGGUGGAAUGCGCAGAUAUCGGGAAGAACACCGAUGGCGAAGGCAGCUCUCUGGGCCGUCACUGACGCUGAGGCGCGAAAACUGGGGGAGCGAACAGG